Molecule: long non-coding RNA, 1851 nt
Filed under: Sus scrofa (pig)
Lineage: Eukaryota; Metazoa; Chordata; Mammalia; Artiodactyla; Suidae
Description: lncRNA (ENSSSCG00005021406.1)
Source: RNAcentral
AUGACAGCUCCAGAGAGUCCUCAGGAACCCACAAACCUGUCUUUCUGCUCUGCCAUAGUUAGAGGUUGCCAUCCUCGAUGUCACAAAAGAGCCACUGGAGUGCCAGCCAUCGCAUACCCAGUCCCAGGCGGGACGGAAAAGGAAAAAAAUAAAAGCAGCACCCAGAAGCUCUUUCGGAGUUUUAUUGGAAAUCCUGCCCAACCGCUUCUGCUUGGAUGUCACUGGCCAUCCCGUUUGCCAGGAAGUGGGAAACGUAGUCUUUCAGCUGCUCAUCUGGUCACCUCGAGAGGAGGGGAGGUUGGAUUUGGGCAGGCAACGUGCAGCUUCUUGCUCAACUUCCUACCCGAGUUUUCUUCUGCCUUAUUUGGGAUCGUGAGCAACACGGAACUCUCCAGGGCCAGGAACUGCUGGAAGCAAGUGAAUCGAUUUCUGAAACAAAGCGCUUUACACAGGCUUUGCGGGUGUCACAGAUUCUCCUCCUUCCUAGAGCCACGCAGCUCCCCCGGGGAAGGGGACCGGGGCACAGCCUCUCCUGGGGAACUGCAGGUAAACAACAGAGCCCAUGAACCGCAGGCGCUCUCUGAGGUCACCGACAAGGAAGGUUCUGUUAUGCGGUCACAUCAAGUGGCUCAGGCUCAGUGGGGGGAGACUUACGCCUGCGUGUUCGGCUGGUUCUGGAAGCAGCCUCCAGCUAAGUAUUUGUGUGAGUGGUUUAUUCAGGAGAAGCCCCAGCCUCAGCCUGCUGCUUCAAGUGGCUUGGGCAUACACUCCAUCUCAGGGGAAGUAGGUGGCACCCAGGCUUUCAGACUUCCCGCUCUUGUCAGCCAGGAGCUGAGGGCCCCCGGGGCACCCCAGGCUCAGCACCUCUGCUCCAGGAGCCCAGACAUCUGAAUAUGGAGCCUUUUUAGGAAGAAGAGUGACAGGCGGGGGUGGUUCUGUUUCGGAAGCCUGCCUUCCCGGGCUCCCCCGCUCAGCUGGCCGCCUGCAGGAUGAAUCUGCGGCAGAUCUGAGCUGCUUUCCCGGCUCUGGGUCUGGCAUGCACGUUGCAAGCACAGGCCACACUGCUGAUGCCGCGGUGCCUGCUGGAUCUCCGACAGGGGCACCCACGCUUCCAGGGGCCUGAAGAAACAGGCACUGGGAGGACAGAGCCUCCCACCUGCACUUGCACACAAAUGUUCAAAGCAGCGUGAUUCACAGGAGCCAGACGGUGGAAGCAACCAAGUGUCCAUCCACAGAUGAGGAGAAAUGGGGUCCACACCAGCAAUGGGAGGUUGGGCGGCUGUCAAAAGACAGGAAAUUCAGACACACACACACACACACACACACACACGCUACGACGCGGAUGAAGCUGAAGACAUUGUGCUGAGCGCGAUAAGCCAGAAGCGAAAGGACAAACACUGCAUGAUGCCCCCUCUGAGACACCCAGAGGUCCCAUCCAUGGGGACAGGAGGAAGCCCGGUGGACAGGGGCUGUGCGGGGCGGGGGGGAUGCGGGCUUAAGGGGGCCGAGUUCCGCUUUGGGAAGACGACACAGCUCUGGAGGUGACGGUGCCAAAGGUCGCCCAACACCCUGCACACCUAAUGCCCCCAAAGUGAACCCUGAAAAACGUUAACACGGCGAAGUCUGUGUUCUGCGUGCUGUAUCACAACGAAAAAAACGGAAACAACAAGCCCCCAAAUAAACACCAAAAUCACCCGGGGUUUCGGGGCUGUCAGUCCUCCCUGGGGGCGGAGCCUCCCCCGCUCCGCGAACUCCAGCGUUUCCUACGGGAAAUCGGGAAACCGAGGCAGGGAGAGGCGUCGGCGCGGGGGCGGCGGGCGCCAGGCUUCAGUCUCGCCGCCCGGUCUUUGC